UAGAGAAAAAGCAGCGUGGUGAAAAAGGUUCCAGCCCCUUAUUUAGGUUUGUUUCUUGAUUAGUUGUCUAAGGAAUCAUUUAACUGAAUCAUUUAGUUUGAUUAUUGGGAUUAUAGUAUUCUAUAUGCUUUAAUUAAGUUUUAUUUUUUGAAAAAAAACUUCCUUUUUGCUAGUGUUAAAAUUUCAGCAAUCUGUUUAGUCGAAACAAAUCGUGCUUUAACUCGAUUAUACUGUGAGUUUUGUAAUUUUUCAGACCCCUGGUGAAAUAUAAUUAUAGGUUUUCUAUUUAUCAUGAUUUCCAGCAACUUUUAAGUGAUUUUUAAAGCUUAUUUUUAAGGGUUUGUUAGCUUUAUGAAUCGUUUGCUUGAUUAGUCGCAAUGAACAUUAGUAUCGAGAGGAUUUUUUAAAGAAGAUAAAAAUAAAAAAAUGUAAGGAAUGCAUGAAUGCUUUUGAAUAAGAAUGUUUGGAUGAUUACCUUAUAAUCGAAUCUUCUUUUUUUGUCGUGUUUCAGGUGGUAGUCCCUUGCGAAUAACGACAAAGUGAAUGACGGUAGAGACUGUUGUACUUAGGUUUAUCUCGUGUUUUGUAACGUGUUGUAAUAAUUUCUUUUCUUUUUUAUUUUGGACUUGGACUUGGGGUGCAUGGGUUUUGUUUCAUCCAAAACCACUCUCCCCUUUUCUCCUCUUGAUUGUCCAUUUAAAUCAAGAAAAGGGGCUGCCACCCCCCUCUCCCCA
Molecule: long non-coding RNA, 734 nt
Filed under: Linum usitatissimum (flax)
Lineage: Eukaryota; Viridiplantae; Streptophyta; Magnoliopsida; Malpighiales; Linaceae
Description: long non-coding RNA (LUSI_LNC003377)
Source: RNAcentral